GAUGAACGCUGGCGGCGUGCCUAAUACAUGCAAGUCGAGCGAACAGACGAGGAGCUUGCUCCUCUGACGUUAGCGGCGGACGGGUGAGUAACACGUGGAUAACCUACCUAUAAGACUGGGAUAACUUCGGGAAACCGGAGCUAAUACCGGAUAAUAUAUUGAACCGCAUGGUUCAAUAGUGAAAGACGGUUUUGCUGUCACUUAUAGAUGGAUCCGCGCCGCAUUAGCUAGUUGGUAAGGUAACGGCUUACCAAGGCAACGAUGCGUAGCCGACCUGAGAGGGUGAUCGCCCACACUGGAACGUAGACACGGUCCAGACUCCUGCGGGAGGCAGCAGUAGGGAAUCUUCCGCAAUGGGCGAAAGCUUGACGUAGCAACGCCACGUGAGUGAUGAAGGUCUUCGGAUCGUAAAACUCUGUUAUUAGGGAAGAACAAAUGUGUAAGUAACUAUGCACGUCUUGACGGUACCUGAUCAGAAAGCCGCGGCUAACUACGUG
This 497-nucleotide ribosomal RNA is filed under the name uncultured bacterium. RNAcentral's name for it is "partial 16S ribosomal RNA". It matches the Rfam family "Bacterial small subunit ribosomal RNA", at positions 28 to 507 of the family's 1533-position model. The record is from RNAcentral.